ACCUGGUUGGCUCAGUAGAUAGAGCAUGGGACUCUUGAUCUUGGAGUUGUGAGUUCAAGUCCCAUGUUGGGCA
Molecule: transfer RNA, 73 nt
Filed under: Vulpes vulpes (red fox)
Lineage: Eukaryota; Metazoa; Chordata; Mammalia; Carnivora; Canidae
Also listed under: 1 other name
Rfam family: tRNA
About the family: Transfer RNA (tRNA) molecules are approximately 80 nucleotides in length. Their secondary structure includes four short double-helical elements and three loops (D, anti-codon, and T loops).
Source: Rfam by way of RNAcentral